This 1000-nucleotide ribosomal RNA is filed under the name Vibrio parahaemolyticus. RNAcentral's name for it is "bacterial SSU rRNA". It matches the Rfam family "Bacterial small subunit ribosomal RNA", at positions 113 to 1106 of the family's 1533-position model. The record is from RNAcentral. Lineage: Bacteria; Pseudomonadati; Pseudomonadota; Gammaproteobacteria; Vibrionales; Vibrionaceae.
AUGCCUAGGAAAUUGCCCUGAUGUGGGGGAUAACCAUUGGAAACGAUGGCUAAUACCGCAUGAUGCCUACGGGCCAAAGAGGGGGACCUUCGGGCCUCUCGCGUCAGGAUAUGCCUAGGUGGGAUUAGCUAGUUGGUGAGGUAAGGGCUCACCAAGGCGACGAUCCCUAGCUGGUCUGAGAGGAUGAUCAGCCACACUGGAACUGAGACACGGUCCAGACUCCUACGGGAGGCAGCAGUGGGGAAUAUUGCACAAUGGGCGCAAGCCUGAUGCAGCCAUGCCGCGUGUGUGAAGAAGGCCUUCGGGUUGUAAAGCACUUUCAGUCGUGAGGAAGGUGGUGUAGUUAAUAGCUGCAUUAUUUGACGUUAGCGACAGAAGAAGCACCGGCUAACUCCGUGCCAGCAGCCGCGGUAAUACGGAGGGUGCGAGCGUUAAUCGGAAUUACUGGGCGUAAAGCGCAUGCAGGUGGUUUGUUAAGUCAGAUGUGAAAGCCCGGGGCUCAACCUCGGAAUAGCAUUUGAAACUGGCAGACUAGAGUACUGUAGAGGGGGGGUAGAAUUUCAGGUGUAGCGGUGAAAUGCGUAGAGAUCUGAAGGAAUACCGGUGGCGAAGGCGGCCCCCUGGACAGAUACUGACACUCAGAUGCGAAAGCGUGGGGAGCAAACAGGAUUAGAUACCCUGGUAGUCCACGCCGUAAACGAUGUCUACUUGGAAGGUUGUGGCCUUGAGCCGUGGCUUUCGGAGCUAACGCGUUAAGUAGACCGCCUGGGGGAGUACGGUCGCAAGAUUAAAACUCAAAUGAAUUGACGGGGGCCCGCACAAGCGGUGGAGCAUGUGGUUUAAUUCGAUGCAACGCGAAGAACCUUACCUACUCUUGACAUCCAGAGAACUUUCCAGAGAUGGAUUGGUGCCUUCGGGAACUCUGAGACAGGUGCUGCAUGGCUGUCGUCAGCUCGUGUUGUGAAAUGUUGGGUUAAGUCCCGCAACGAGCGCAACCCUU